CUUCCAGUGAUGAUAACAUUGUCCAGUUCUGCUACUGAAGUUGUAGAGAUGAGAUUUUUUUUUAAAUCUGAGGAAG
Protopterus annectens (West African lungfish) is the source of this 76-nucleotide small nucleolar RNA. The record is from RefSeq and is a predicted model, not a curated record. NCBI's taxonomy places the organism in Eukaryota, Metazoa, Chordata, Ceratodontiformes, Protopteridae.